This 2416-nucleotide long non-coding RNA is filed under the name Callithrix jacchus (white-tufted-ear marmoset). RNAcentral's name for it is "lncRNA (ENSCJAG00000073106.1)". Lineage: Eukaryota; Metazoa; Chordata; Mammalia; Primates; Cebidae. The record is from RNAcentral.
UGAUAUAAAAUAAUUUAUGUCACUUUGCCUGAAAGAAAAAAUGAAAAUUAAUUGUUACCAAUAGGGAACAGAGAAUGUUUCCCAGUGGAAGGAUUUUGAAUUGCAUCUUAAAGAAAGUGUAAGGGUUCAGAAGAUGAAUAAAAAGGAGAAAAGGCCCUUCAACUUUGAAGAUACCUUAAAGCAAAGCAACAAAUUAUCCAAGUGCAUAAAUGUGUAAUGUGAGUGGGAUGUUUAUGUCAUAAGUGGCCACAUACACAAAAUUUAGGUUUAGGUAAUAUAAAACUUCUUACAAAUAUUUAGUCCUUGCAACGUACCAGGCAUUGGGCAUCACCAUUCACUUUGAUUGACUGCCAAUCCACUGUAUUUUCUGAGUAUGUUUAUCCUUUCAUUCCCUAAGUAUUUUAUCUCUCUUCAAGCCUCAGACAUUUAACACAUCCUUUCCCCUUAUAUUCUUAAUUCUUAUAUUAAUAGGAAAAUAGAAGCAAUCAGAAGUGAAAUUAAUUUUACUUCCACCAUAUCUACUAAUCCUUCCACUUACCUCUCCAUGUUCUAUCUUUAACAUUUUUUUUUAAGUUCAGGGGUACCCUUGCAGGUUUGUUAUAUAGGUAAACUCAUGUCAUGGGCGUUUGUUUUACAGAUUAUUUCAUCACCCAGGUGGAAAGCCUCAUACUCAUCGGUUAUUUUUUCUGAUCUUCUAGAUCAUCCACCUUCAGAUCUAAGAAAAGUUGUUGACUUUUCAGCAUCUUCAGAGUGUUACUUAUCAGCAUGAAGCAGUGACUUCUAAGGAUCUGACAUGCAGGACUGGAAACCAGAAGUUCCCUCUACAUUUUCUUUAAAAUAUAAUUCUUUUGUAUCAUAGUGCUCUAGACAUUUGAAAACAUAUUUUAUCUUCUGUUCUUUAGUUUGAAAACUUUUAAUGACUAGAUAUUCCCAGUAUCUGUAACUAACUCUUCCAUAGAGAGAAUUUUUUGUUAUACUUUCACCAUCCUUGUUAUAUCCUUUAUAGUAUAUUUCUGUGUGUAUGAAUGUAUUUCUGUGUGUGUGAAAUGUAAGACAUAUAUAUAUAUAUAUAUCACAUUACAUGAUAUACAUAGAGAUAGAGAGAUACAUAGAUAGAUAAAUAGAUAGAUAUCACAUCAUUCUGGAAGUAGUUGAGCAACUGACAGGAAAAGGCCCAUCUCAUUCUUUAAUCAAGAGAUUACAGUAAUGUAAUAUAAUAUAUGACUACACUGACAUUUUUGUAAUUGAAAUUCACAUUGAAUUUCUUUACUUUUCAUCGAUAAGGUACUACUCUAUUGCAUUUGAGUUUUUAGAUGUGAAUGUCUAUUGCAUGUCAUCUUGCAAAAUAUGGCUCACCACUCUUAUUUAUUAAGAGGGGUUUGAAACAUGAUUUUAUCAUACUAUAAAUUAAGUUCUUUUUUUUCCUUGAUGGAUGUCAUUUUCCAUUGAUGUUAUUGAUAGUGAACAAAACGUAUUCAAGGGCAAAACUCUGUGAAAUGUUUUACAGACUGACAUUUGUCCUCUACCCAACAUUAUUUGAAUACUACUAUUCAAUCAGUUUAAAAAUCCAUCUAAUUGAAAUAACAUCCAACCCUACUUGAGCUUUAAUCUCAUGAAAACGUCUUAUUAAAUUAAAUUUGUUUAAUGCAUUUCCCUUAUCAACCAAUCUAGAAAUUAUUUUAAAAUACAUUUUAUAAGAUUUCUUACUGAGGAAGAACCAAUCAGGCACACAGAUUCUGAUCAUUCUAACCCAGGUUUUAAUUUAAGCAAAUUUUACAUCUAUAAGUGGUUCAUAUCAUCAUAGUCUGUCUCUAUUUUCUGGGUUACAACAGCAAAAAGAUGAAUUAGUCCCCUUAUUAAUUGAUAUUGAAUUUCUACAACAAACAUAGUGUAAACAUUCAUUUUCUUUUAAAUUUGCUCAAUUAGGACCCACAAGUUCCAUAGAAAAUUCUUUGGAAUCCUGUAACAAAUAGGUAUUUCUGAAGUAGGUAUUUCUGGUAUCAUGGCAAUAGAUUUCUAUAAAGAUAUGGCACUUAUAGCACCUUAUAUAUAGACUAUUCAAUACUCAAAUCCCCAAGUACAGAAACUUAACAACAUAAACAUAUUUGAAAAUAUAUUUUAAACUAUAUAAAAAUCUUCCUACAUUUUUCAAUUUGAACGAAGUUUAGCAGAGUUCCUCUUUCAUUGUUUAAGAAGGUGUGCUAUUAUAUUUUGCCUGCUAACAUUCUACAUUUUUAUGCUGAUGUGUCUAAAUAUAAGCAAGACUACACUGGGAAGGAACACAAAGGAAUUAUCAGGAGGAUAUAAAUAUAAACAAGCAAAGCACAUACAUAAUCAACAUACUUGUUUGAAUUUAUAUGUAAUCACCAAACGGACACAGUAAAGCUGAAAUCACAAUUUCACAGAAAAACAAGAU